This 401-nucleotide ribosomal RNA is filed under the name uncultured bacterium. Its description in RNAcentral is "bacterial SSU rRNA". It matches the Rfam family "Bacterial small subunit ribosomal RNA", at positions 30 to 432 of the family's 1533-position model. The record is from RNAcentral.
AUUGAACGCUGGCGGCAUGCCUUACACAUGCAAGUCGAACGGCAGCACGGGAGCAAUCCUGGUGGCGAGUGGCGAACGGGUGAGUAAUAUAUCGGAACGUGCCCAGUCGUGGGGGAUAACGUAGCGAAAGCUACGCUAAUACCGCAUACGAUCUAUGGAUGAAAGCGGGGGAUCGCAAGACCUCGCGCGAUUGGAGCGGCCGAUAUCAGAUUAGGUAGUUGGUGAGGUAAAGGCUCACCAAGCCGACGAUCUGUAGCUGGUCUGAGAGGACGACCAGCCACACUGGGACUGAGACACGGCCCAGACUCCUACGGGAGGCAGCAGUGGGGAAUUUUUGGACAAUGGGCGCAAGCCUGAUCCAGCAAUGCCGCGUGCAGGAUGAAGGCCUCGGUUGUAACUAG